AACUAUGUCUAUUUACUUUGAUGGAGCAUGAUAAUGGGAGAAAAAAUAAUGUAUACAUAUAUGUGUAACUGGGUCACUAUGCUGUACAGUAGAAAAAAAAGGAUUUUAUUGGGGAAACGACUAUAAAAAAAGAAAGAAUUAGUGUUAUUUUUAACUUUUUUGGUCUUCUUUUGGCUGCAUCUGUGGCAUUUGAAGGUUCCCAGGCUAGGGGCCCAAUCAGAGCUGUGGCCUCUGGCCACAGCCACAGUAACAUCAGAUCUGAUCCGCAUCUCACAUCUCACAGCAGUGCCAGAUCCUUAACUCUUUGAGCAAAGCCAGGUGUUGAACCCACAUCCUCAUGGAUGCUAGUAGGGUUCGUUAACCAAUGAGUCACGAUGGGAACUCCCUAUUUUUAGGUUUUAAGGAGGAUGUAAACUAGUAGUUGAAGUGUCAAUAAUGACUCCCUUCCAGAAGUAUUUAUUAACUGGUGAUCUCAUUACCCAUUCAUGAUUUUAGAAAAAGUAGCAAACUUUGUUUUAAGCCCAAUGAGAUGCUUUACUGUAGAAGGUCAUGAGUCAGACCUAGGAUGCUUCAAAUAAAACUCAUACUUAGAGAGUUCCAAAAUUUUAUAUACAUAUUCAUAUCAAUAUGACUUGGAUGCCUACAACUAAGGAAAGCCAAUAUAGCAUGACAGGUGGUAAUAAAGCACUUCCCAUCAGACAUAUUUCUUGAGAAAAACCCAUGCAGAGCAGUAUCAACAGCCCAUGGAUGAAGAUGUGAACAACAGUGUUGACCACUUUAGGGAAUGGGUCUUACAGGGGCAGGCAAAUGGUCAAGGAUCCAAGAGACAGAUGUCCAGUGACAGUGGGGAAACUGGGCCAGGCACCCAUGGGUGUGUCUGGCCAAAGGAGGCAUCCUUUCUCUAGACCAGCAAAAAGGUCAAAGCCCGGUUCAGGUUUUGGCUCUGGAACCUGAUCAGACUGAGUGGCUCCAUGUCUGCAGCUUAAUCAGGUGGGAUGGUGGUGGAAGAUGCCCUUGUCCUUCUACAAAGAAAUCUAGGAUGUUAAAUGGAAACUUCAUCAGAACCUCACCAAGGGUCACUCUGAGCGAAUAUUAAAAAUGUAGAGAGUAAUAUGCUCUUCUGAUCUGUCUCUUCCCAUCUACUCACCCAACACCUUACUCAUCCAUUUCUGAUUAGUAAUUUGGUUCUAGCUCAGUCAGAAAGAUGUGCUGCUGUAUCCUAGGACCACUGUUUCACUUUUAUUUGGGGAGGAUAAUCUAUCUGCCAUGGUCCCAUAGUUAUGAUAAUUCAGGAGGAUCUGUGCAAGGUCUGCUCCAAAACUCAACUCUGAUUCAUAGGGAGGGAAAGCCAGUGAUUUUUAUUCUAAGUCAGUUGUCAUCCUAAGCCAAAUUUGGUAUUUUAUUUCUUUCAAAUCAAAAAUAUAUUAGAUGCUUUUAUGAUUUUUCUGCAUACACAGAAGAGGAAAUGGAAAUUCAGAAGAGUUAAGUUGAUUGUGUGAGGUGACACACUUUGAUAGUUACAGCCUGCAACUGAGAUCUGUCUUUCCCAAAUACUCUUCCCUUACAGCUCUAUGGUGCUGAGUCUCAGGAGCAUGUUUUUAAACAAUUUCUUUUUAUGGCCACACCCAUGACAUGUGGAAAUUCCCAGGCCAGGGAUUGAAUCAGAGCCACAGCAGUGACAGCACUGAAUCCUUAACAUCUAUGCCAUCAAGGAACUCCUCAGAAGCAUCUUUGAUACUGUUCAUCCUUAGCUAACCACAGCCUGAAGUAAUAGAAUUAGGUGGUUCACCUGAGACUAAAAAGGUGGAUUACUUAGGCUCAUCACACAAACCUUUUGUCACUAAGCUGAGUAGAAAUGACUUCCACAAAGACAUAUAAUGAAGAAAAUGUAUGAGAUAGGUUAAAAUUCAGUGGGAAUAACAGAAGAAUCCAGACCAUGGAUGCUUUCAUUGGCUUUCUCAUUCUCUGUCUGGACACAGCCAGUGUCUUCUUCAAACUCACAUCUGCAGGCAUAAAAUUCCAUGGACAACUGGGCUGAGAGUGAACCACUGAGAGAAGGGCACUUCAGUCCAUAAGAGUGAUCAGUGUUCCCCAAACCAAGAAGAAGCUUCAAGUCUUUCUCUGGUAAGUGGAGAAACUGAACUCAUAUCUGUGUAUAGUUUCCUGGAGCUAAAAAAGGCAACUAAAGAGUUUAUUCUCCUUAUCCACCACUGUUUCUACUAACAAAAUAAUAUAGAAGAGAACUGAAUGAGAAGUGUGGAAAGGAAAGGAGACGCUUUACAAAUGUCCAAUUCUGCAGACUUUUCUGCCAAGGGAGCCUUGUUAGCCAAGAUUUCCAACAAUUCAUAAAUAAAUUCCAAUAUUGGCACAUACCCCUUCCCACCAGUUUAUGGCAAUUGCCAUUCUCUUCUCUGCUUCUCUGAGAAUAGAAUUUUAGAUUCCACACAUAAGAGGUAUCAUAGAAUAUUUGCUUUCUGAGUCUGAAUUAUUUCACCUAGCAUGAUGUAUGAAGUUCAAUUAAGCAAGAGCUAUUGACAUUGAAUGUACAGCAAAAUGAGUAGAGAUAACAAUACUGAAUUGUGUACUUGGUAUUUGCUAGGAAGAAGGAUAUUAAGUCUUUUCAACACACACACAAUAAAAUAAUAACUACAAAGAGGUGGGGAAUUCAUUAAUAAGCUUGAUUGUGGUAGCUAAUUCACAAUGAACAUGUAUCAAUAACAAUGUACUGUACACAUUAAAUCUACAUUUAUGUGACAACUAUACCUCAAUAGACCAAUUAUAAAAAUAACUAAUAUAUUCUCUCUUGGGAAAGAAGAAGAAAUACAUAAGUCUUACUACUAGCAAUGUUAUUGCUCAAUCUAACACACAAGAGUCGCAAUCACUAGUAUCAAUUUAGAUGUCACAAUUCAUACUAAGAAAUUCCUAGCAAAACAGAAAAUAAAUAGAAUAGAAUGCAGUUCAUGUUAUGAAAUAGUGAGCAUUUAUACCAACCUGGGCUUGAGAUAAGGGGUGUAAGAUCUGGGGUUAUGUGACUAUAUGUGUCUGUUAUAAAGAUGAGCAAACAUUACUGAGACAAGACUGAUACCUUGUGGAAGAGUUUCUCAAGGGCCCCCUUCAUGUCCCUGUUCCUCAGGCUGUAAAUGAAGGGGUUCAGCAAAGGGGUGACCACUGUGUACAUCACAGAGGCAACUAUGUCCUUGUCACUGGAGGUGCUGGAUGAGGGGACAAAAUAUAGCCCAAUAAUUGUUCCAUAAUAGAGGGAAACCACUGAGAGGUGGGAUCCACAGGUGGACAAGGCUUUGAAGAAGCCCUUGGUGGAUGGAACCUUGAGGAUGGUGAUCCCAAUGCAGCCAUAAGAGACCAAGAUGCAAUUUAAUGGGAGGAUAAUGAUGGCCACUCCUGCUAUGAAAAUAACCAGCUCAUUGAUGGAUGUGUCUGAGCAGGAGAGCUUGAGGAGGACAUCAAGGUCACAGAAGAAAUGGGGAAUGGUGUUGUCAGCACAAAAUGACAGCUGGGUCAGGAGGAGGGUGUGACAAAGGGCAUUGGCACACGAUAAAAUCCAAGAUGCAGAUAUUAGUAAGGUACACACUCCCUCUCUCAUGAUGGUGGUAUAAUGGAGAGGAUGACAAAUGGCAAUGUACCGAUCAUAUGCCAUCGAGGUGAGAAGGAAAUUGUCUACAUCAGUAAAAAGUAGGAAAAAAUACAUCUGUGUUACACAUUCUGCAUAAGAAAUGAAUGGAUAUUUAGUCUGCAUGUUCAUCAGCAUCUUUGGGACAGUAACAGAUGAAAAGGAGAUGUCCGUGAGGGCCAAGUGGCUGAGGAAGAAGUACAUGGGGGUGUGGAGGCGAGGGUCCAGCCUGAUGAGCAGGAUGAUGAGCAGGUUCCCCAGCACUGUUGUCAGGUACAUGCCCAGGAACAGGGCAAAGAACAAGCCCUGCUGCUCUGGUUGGAUGGGGAGCCCCAGGAGGAGGAAUUCGGACACACUGCUUUGGUUGUCCAUCCUCAUGCUCCUCUCCUGUCUGCUGGGGAAGGAUGGGGAGUAAGAGAAGCAUAAAUCAACAUAAUUUGAUUUAUAGAAGCCAGGAAAAGAAGAAGCAUUUCUACUGGUGAAUAUGCCAGCAUCUGAGUACACUGACCUGUCCCUGAAAAAAUCCUUUAAAGUGGAUUGUAUCAUCACAUGAAAUGAGCAAAUUUACAAACAAAGAAGAGAGUUUGAUACAGAAGAGAAACUAGCUCAGUGGCAUUUUUCCAUCAUCUAUGGGAGAGGCAGCCUCUAAGUCAUGACUUGCACCUGUGUCUUGUUAGUAAAGAGAAAGUGUCACACUGUCUUAGCAUAGGGAUAGUAAAUUCAAGUGUCCUAAUUUCUAUUCUGUUUGUACACUUAAAAACAAUCAUAAGGAGUUCCCAUCAUGGCUCAGUGGUACUGAAACCGACUAGUAUCCAUGAGGACACAGGUUUCAUCACUGGCCUUGCUCAGUGGGUUAAUGAUCUGGCAUUGCCUUGUGGGGUGGUAUAUCUUGCAGAUACCUCCUGGAUCACCCAUUGUUGUGGCUGUGGUUUAGGCUGGCAGCUAGAGCUAUGAUUCAACUCCUAGCCUGUGAACUUCCGUACACUGUGGUUGUGGCCCUAAAAUUACCAAAACAUAAAAAUAUUAAAAGUAAAAAACAGUCAUGAGAGUUCAGCUUCAUGUUGUGAAAUACUGAACAUUUAAAUCUGAAACUCAUAAUCAAAGUAUAUAGAGAAAAAUUCAACAACAUAUACUGAAAGCAAAGUGGAUCAAAAAUAGUCAAAAUGUCCACUAUGUAUAAAGAUUAAAAAGAAAUAUAUCUGUUGAUUAAACCAAAGUGUUUUUGAGUUUAGUCAUGCAGUAUAACUGCUUGAAAAGCUAAAAAUUUUACUGGCAGUUAUGUAUUAUUUUACUACUAUUCAUGAUUAUCAAUCUCCUCCUAAUUCAACAACCUCUCAUGAGCCUGUCAACAUCCACAAUCACUAAUGAAAAGUGCUCUUGUCAAGAGAAGUCAGAAUCAAAUUAUGUUCGCCCUCCCCUUUAAGGAACUAGUAAUAAGAAGUGGAUUAAGCAAGAGCACAGAGAAAUACUGGGCACCUGUGAAGAGACACAGAGACAAAUACACACACACCUGCUUCCAGUGAAAGAUAUCCAGUUCUUCUCUGAACUAUAUGCUCAAGUGAUUUAGCUGCAAGGACUAUGGGUUAGUUUCUUACAUUUUCUGUAGGACAUUGGGACCAUAUAUAGCCACAACUUCUGUGGUCCUGAACUUCUCACCAGCAUCAGAGAGAAGAGUCAUAAGUUUAUAGCUUACUCAUCAGUUAUUUCACCACUUUCAGAAAUGGAGAGGUGAAGACUGUGUUAUACCCACGAGGGAGAGAACUGAAGGGCAUAGGGCACCAAGUUCUUACUAAGAGACAUGCAUUAAACCUGUGUUAAUUGCUCACUUUUCCUCCUCCUGCCUCCAGGACAGAUGCCCUAGGACAGUGGUCCCUAAACCAGGAUGUUCUGUAGAAUCGCAUGGGGAGCUUGUGAAAGAUGCAGAUCCCAGCUCCACAUCCAAUGAUGCUCAUUCAUGAGACCUGGGGCCAGGUGAUUCUCAGGCAGAUGGUUCUCAGGGCAGAAUGUGAGGCAACACUGUCCUUAGUAAGAACAUCAGGGAGAUGCCAUUUGUGCAGGAGCCCAGACUGAGAUGUGGGCAGAACUCCUGACUUGUCUUUCCUAAAAGAUUCAUGAUUCCCCUGACAGGUCAUACUCUGGGGUGUGAAGAAGGAUUUUUCUCCCCAGUGGAUGUUCCUAUUUGAUUUGCUACUUUUAAAAUGAAUUCCACUUCCUGAUGGGAAUCCAAAUAAAACAAACAUGAAACAAAUGACAAAGUCAAACUACUUCACCCUUCCAUUGUUCAUUUUUUAUCUUCCUACAAUGGUUUCUAUUAAUUAAAACUUUCCUGCAGAUCUUUGCUUCUAUUGAGAACCCAAUGACCAGGCACUGACUGCUACCCCUAUACAUUGUCUCCUUCUCCUUGAAAACACAUUAAGCAUCCUGACGCUAACACCCUCCUCACACCAAAGAAAGAUACAGCAAAUAUUCAAAUUCCCACACCAAAAAUAAAUAGUACCCCCCCAAAAAAAUUCAAAGAGGUAUUCUUGCAUAGAAAUAGCAUUAAAAGACUACAGUUUGGCUUCCCCAAA
Molecule: long non-coding RNA, 6198 nt
Filed under: Sus scrofa (pig)
Lineage: Eukaryota; Metazoa; Chordata; Mammalia; Artiodactyla; Suidae
Description: lncRNA (ENSSSCG00050051082.1)
Source: RNAcentral